Molecule: long non-coding RNA, 3601 nt
Organism: Sapajus apella (tufted capuchin)
Lineage: Eukaryota; Metazoa; Chordata; Mammalia; Primates; Cebidae
Exons: 2
Source: RefSeq, a predicted model, not a curated record
CUGCACUUCAGGCGACAGAGCGAGAGACUGUCUCAAAACAAAAACAAACCAACAAAAAAGGAAAAACAGAAAACUGGAACAUUUUCUGUUAAGAAGCUUCCCCUUCAGCUGCUUGGAAUGUGGAUAAAAUGGCUGGAGAUCUGCAUCUCUCUUAGCUAUGAGACAACUUUACAUCCUUGAUGGCAGAUGGGAAAGAUAGAAGGAUGCAAGGUUUCUGAUAAUUUUAGACCAAUUACACAAUUACGAGCUACCUUUACUCAUUUUACUUAUGUGAAAAACAGCCCUUAUGUAUUUACUAAUAGAUUUAGGAUUUUCUGUUACUUGCAGUCAAUACAAUCCUAAAUGAUUCACUUAUCAAUGAAACUAAAUGAUCUCAAUUGAUAAAUCAUUCAAGAACUUGGCCUUGGAUACAUGAGUCAAGUAGGUAGGUGAGUGAGGCUGUGGACAUAUGGAAAGAAAGCAUAUUAAUUAGUAUAUCAGAACUAGGAAGUUACAUUGAAUGCUCUCUUGACAUACACUAAUUCCCUCAACAUGAACUUAUUGUCCAGAUUGGUGGAAGCACAAUGUCUGUGAAGAAAACGAUUUAAAAAUAAAGGUGUAGUAAGUUAGAACCAGUUUAUAAAUAGUCUUCAAUGUCUAAGCUAAGAAGACUAAAUUUAAUUUCUUAUGGAUUAGACUCACUAAAGACUUUACAAAGUGAGAGAAAAAUAAUAAUAUUUAGAGCUGAAUACGUAAAACUUAAAAUCCUCUAAUGUAGUGAUUUUCGAAAUAUGCAAACCUCUGCCUUUAAUUCCUCGUGCUUUAAGCUCUCAGAACAGUUUCUCUUUUUCCAGUUGCAUCCUGACUUAUUCAUGGUCAAUGCCCUACCUUUUACUGAAGAGAACUGUUGAGGUUGUGAAUUUAACUUGCAUGGUAAUUUUGCAGGCUGCAGCCUGAAAGUUUGGGUCUGAUGUUUUAAUACAUCUGUCCUGAGGCUACAGAAGGUAAAAGAUUAUUCCAGUACAGGUAUAGGCAUUCUAGUGUUCUGAUCAUGCCUUGAGCUGAGAAUUUAAAAUCCUGAGCAUUUUCUUUCUUUAAUCUCCACGUAGACAUCUUCACCCACAGUCCUUGUGCUCAUCGCUUCCUUGUCAUUCUGUUCCAGGUCACUUGGACUCUCCAGCUUCACUUUCAUUAAGCUCUGAAUUCCAGGUGAGGACACAAGAAUGCUUAUUCAGAUGACUUUAACAUACAGAAGGCAGUGGAGAAAACAAUGGCCAGAGCCAGAGCAAAACCCACAGAAAACUUGAGCAGGUUUGUCUUCUACUUUAAAAUGUGUUGCCUGACUUCCCUUUCCCUGACUGUAGAAAUUUAGUUUGUCUGAAUUUUCUACAAUAUAAGUUUGCGGCAUAGGAAUAAUUUCAUUACUUUUGAACGUGAGUCACUUUCACACUUAAUUUUUCAUAAAAAUGUUUUCCAGGGUUUAAAGAGAAUUAGAAUUUCUCAUGUUUGGACUGUCUUAUAGUAAAGAAGUGGAAAAUAGAAUUAACUGCAACGAAAUGCUAUGUUAUGCAUCACUUUAAAAUUAUUCAUUUUUUAUUUCUUUUAUUGAGCCGGAGUUUUUACUCAUGAUUGACCUUCAGAUGGUUCUGAAUAUUACUUUCUGCCACAGAACUGAGUAGCCUAGUGCCUGGCUUCUUAGGUUAUGAAACUACAAAUUGAAUUGACUUUCCUGAAGCUUAAGGCUGAGGUCACUGGAGUGUCUUUUAAUGGAGACUUACAAAUUGAAUAGUAAAACUUGCUAUGUGAAUGUUAAUAUCCGCCUGUAAUCAAAGUCCAUUUAUGCUUUGGAUCUGAUAAUUUUAGUGAUGGCUUUAUUAUAAGCUUAUUUUAGCAGGUGACUAAUCCAGAAGAGGCAGUAGUUUUUGGCAAAUUCUGAUAUGUAAAAUAGUCAAGCAACCUAAAAGUUGCUAGUUGAUGUCAUACUAAGUUGAUGGUUGAUAAACCUCAUUGAAAAAUAUCAAGGCAAUCAGUCAAUAAACAUGUUAUGUUUUGAAUGACGUACUGGGAACACAACGAUGGUUAUGUAUGAUUGUCUAUAUAUCACCAAUAUCAUGUUCCUAAACACAAUGGCAGUAGACAAAGUUGUGCCAUUCAAUGGCACCUUCCCUCACGUAGCAUAAAAUCUAUUCUAAGAGACAAAACAAGGAAAUAGUUAAAUGCAUAAAAAUGGGAGAAGGCCAUGAUAGGUGGGAAUAUUUCAAAUGAUUUUUUUUUUUUUAGACAGGCCGAUAAUUUGGCCAAAAAGCAGGGCAAAAUUUGAAUUCCUUGAUAGGAAAAGCGAGGUCAAUCGAAGGAGAUGAAAUAGAAUCAGGAAGUGCACAAACGGAAGUGUAAACAUUAUAUGCCACAGGACAGAAAGAGCAAAAGCCAGAGCGGAGUAGACCAUGCCUGGUGGGGUGUGGUGGGGAACAAGGCUAAAGACAUAGACUGAUGAAGGACUUAAUAGAACUGAAUAUUAUACCCAGUAGAGAAUCAAUACUGUGUAUGUUCUUGAGCAAUAAAAUUAGAUAAUGACAUCAUUCUUCUGCAAAGAUUAAUCAUACUGAUGCACUAAAACGAUUGAAAGGGAAGAGAGGUGAGAGUUGGAGAAAAUAGUUUCAGAUUUCCAACUGAACUACUUCUGAGACAAAGAAUGGAGAGAAAUGUAUAAACAUGAGAGACAUUUUGAAGGAAGUCACAUUGAGCAUUAUGACUUAGCUAAAGAGAAUGGAAGUGAAAACGCAGCCGUAUGCCAACCUUACAAACGGCCAAAUAUCUCUAAUGAGUAAUAAAAUGCUCAGUGUGUUUAUUUAGCUUUGCCACCUUGAAUUUAUUCAUUAAAAGAUGAUGUAUCAAUGUCAAGCCCAUAUGUAGGAGGCUAGCAAAUAACAGGAGAGUGCCCUCACCUGACACUACUCUCAGACCAUGGAAUGCAUACCCAUGGUGUUUUACAGAAUGCCCUUCAUGACUGCAAAACAGAGAUUAAAUCAUUUUCAUUAUGAUAGAAAGCAUUGCAGUUUCCCAACGUUGAUUCUUUUUCCCUUUUGCAAAACCCCUUCCUUCUUUGAGUUUCAUACCAUAUUUCACCCCUCCUCAUAGCUGUCAUUUUCUAAUCUUCUAUUACCCUCAAAAACGUGUUGAAGCAUAGAUACCAUAGUCAUUGCUUCUUCUAUGUACUGAGAUCUGACAAGAGGAAGAGCUGCUGCCCCUCGGAUGUCUUGAAAUCCCGUAUACCCCGGUAUAAUCACAGUCUCUCAUUCUUUCAGUCUUUCUCACACCUAUAUUCCUCCUGACACUAAACAUUUCUCAGUGACUACCAGAUGCUUUUGCCUUUACCAAAACACUUAUAAACUACUUAUAUAUUCAACUUCCUCACAAACCUCCCUUGGUACCAACAAAACAAAACUUUCAUCCUGAAUGAAUGCCAAAAUCUACCAUUCCUCCUUACCUAUUUUAGACAUAGUAUGAGAAUAUCCAUGAUUGUUAGCCACAGUGGGUUCUUCAAAUUCAAGAACAGGUCUAGAGUUAAAAAGUAAAGACAAAUGUCUUUCACUUUUGUUAUCUCAAGCCACUGGCAGAGGGG